Molecule: transfer RNA, 73 nt
Organism: Caldalkalibacillus thermarum TA2.A1
Lineage: Bacteria; Bacillati; Bacillota; Bacilli; Caryophanales; Bacillaceae
Rfam family: tRNA
About the family: Transfer RNA (tRNA) molecules are approximately 80 nucleotides in length. Their secondary structure includes four short double-helical elements and three loops (D, anti-codon, and T loops). Further hydrogen bonds mediate the characteristic L-shaped molecular structure. tRNAs have two regions of fundamental functional importance: the anti-codon, which is responsible for specific mRNA codon recognition, and the 3' end, to which the tRNAs corresponding amino acid is attached (by aminoacyl-tRNA synthetases). tRNAs cope with the degeneracy of the genetic code in two manners: having more than one tRNA (with a specific anti-codon) for a particular amino acid; and 'wobble' base-pairing, i.e. permitting non-standard base-pairing at the 3rd anti-codon position.
Source: Rfam
GAGCCGCUAGCUCAGCUGGUAGAGCAUCUGACUUUUAAUCAGAGGGUCGAAGGUUCGAAUCCUUCGCGGCUCA